RNAcentral lists this ribosomal RNA (253 nucleotides) under uncultured bacterium. Its description in RNAcentral is "partial 16S ribosomal RNA". It matches the Rfam family "Bacterial small subunit ribosomal RNA", at positions 524 to 776 of the family's 1533-position model. The record is from RNAcentral.
UACAGAGGUCCCGAGCGUUGUUCGGAUUCACUGGGCGUAAAGGGUGCGUAGGUGGUUGGGUAAGUCUGAUGUGAAAUCUCCGGGCUCAACCCGGAAAUGGCAUUGGAUACUAUUCGGCUAGAGGUUUGGAGGGGGGACUGGAAUUCUCGGUGUAGCAGUGAAAUGCGUAGAUAUCUGGAGGAACACCGGUGGCGAAGGCGGCAUCCUGGACCGGUAUUGACGCUGAGGCGCGAAAGCCAGGGGAGCAAACGGG